Molecule: long non-coding RNA, 1626 nt
Filed under: Monomorium pharaonis (pharaoh ant)
Lineage: Eukaryota; Metazoa; Arthropoda; Insecta; Hymenoptera; Formicidae
Description: uncharacterized LOC118647838, transcript variant X2
Source: RNAcentral
CAUGCCCCUCUCGAAUGUUUCGUUGCCCCCUUCUCUCGACCUACCCCCUCGUCCCGACGUGAAAAAGAAAAUGUCUUUCCGUCGUGAUCCGUCAUGUAUGGUCGAUGAUAGCGAUUUGCCGGCGCGCGAUGCGUGAUUAAACAUAAAAAUAAAAAUGCCAACUUGCCAAUGUAAAAAUAAGUAACGGUAAUAAAGGCGAGCGAUAAUUAAAAUUGACGAAGAUGUUAGCGUUUAUUUCUCACAAAUAAAGAAUUUUAUUAUAAUAUCGUGAAAAAGAAUAAAUAAUAUCACAGUAUAUAUUUCUAUGUUACUUGAUCUUUAGUCCAAUUAUGGUUUUUAAAUUGAAUAACAUAUUGUCGAUAUAAUCAAGAAUUUUGUAAUUAUAUGUAAUAAUAUUAAAUUUUCUUGAUUGCAUCGACAACAUGUUGGAUUUAAAACUAUAAAUUAAUAUAGAAACAUGUAUUUUGCGACAUUAUUUGUUUAAAUUCUUUUUCCACGAUAUUGUUAAUUUUUUUAUUUUUUUAGGAGAAAAAAUCCGCUACCAUUUUUGUUAAUUUAGUCGUAUAGUCUUUUUUUUUAAAUUAUUUGUGCUCAGAAGUGCCACGGUGAGAUGUGGUGAGAGAAGAGCAAAAUAGGGCGCGAUGAUUUUGCGAACGUUUAAAAUGCGAUUUUUUUCUUUUUUUAAACUGCGAACCAAGUAGUAAGAACUUGAAGAAUAUUGACAGCAAUAAAAAUACGGAUAUCCCUCUACUUAUGAUUAUCUCGGCUUAUGAAUUCUAACAACCGGCAUAAAUGUAACUAUAGAUUAAAAAUGAACUAAUAAUACAUUAUAACGAAGGUGAUCGUGCACUCGUUAAUCAGUGAUUCAAAUUAAAUAUUAAUUUUACUGUACUGAAUAAUUAAUUGCAUUAAGAGUUAUAUUUUUAAGAAAAAAUUGUAUCGUUUGUUAAUCAUUUGUUGAAGUUAAAUCCGUGUUUAAAUUAAUUUUUAUGAUAGCAAAUAUUAUAAAUUAUAAUCUUUAAAAUAAUUUGUAUUUAAAUAUUUUAUUUAUAUAGAGUAUAAAAAUGCUAUUCAAUUUAUGAUUAAUUCGAUUUGUGGCUAAAAUCUUAGAAUAUAAAUAGUGGAAUAUUUGUAUGCAUAAAAAAUAAUGAAAUUUAUGAAAUUUUUUAAAUAUGUAUGAAAGUUUAAUGAUACAUUUUUAAAUUUAUUAAAAUUAUAGAGAAAUUUUCGCGAGCGCUUUAUCGUCAUACUAAUUUCAUUAUGUUUUGCACGACGAACAAUUUGGAGGGAAAAAGUGGAAAUUGCUACCUCAUGAGAGAGCUGGAAAUGAAAUAGAUGGUUACGUAAUGAAAAUGAAGGAAAGAAAGAAGAUAAAAAUGACGAUGUUCGAAACGAUACAAAACGAUACUGAAGAUCGACGGCCCUAAACGAGAUCGAUUGUCUUCCGUCGUCUUCCCGACUAUUUCUUCUCGAUUAGAUCAGUCGAGCGUCGCCGUCAUCAGUACUACUAACAAAUCGCUAGACGUGGGCGAUAGAGAAGUAUCACGAGUUUAGGAGACUCGAGAUCCGCGUAGAUCCAGGAUCUGAGAAUGUUGUAAGUGAUCGCUGACUUCUUCCUCCUCGUUC